GCGAGAGUGGCGGAAUUGGUAGACGCACCAGAUUUAGGUUCUGGCGGGUAACACCGUGUGGGUUCGAGUCCCACCUUUCGCACCA
Molecule: transfer RNA, 85 nt
Filed under: Luteibacter pinisoli
Lineage: Bacteria; Pseudomonadati; Pseudomonadota; Gammaproteobacteria; Lysobacterales; Rhodanobacteraceae
Description: tRNA-Leu
Rfam family: tRNA
About the family: Transfer RNA (tRNA) molecules are approximately 80 nucleotides in length. Their secondary structure includes four short double-helical elements and three loops (D, anti-codon, and T loops).
Source: RNAcentral